GACGAACGCUGGCGGCGUGCUUAACACAUGCAAGUCGAACGGUGAAGCGCCUUCCUUUUUGGUGGGUGUGGAUGAGUGGCGAACGGGUGAGUAACACGUGAGUAACCUGCCCCCUUCUUCUGGAUAACCGCAUGAAAGUGUGGCUAAUACGGGAUAUUCUGGGUCUGUCGCAUGAUGGGUCUGGGAAAGAUAUUGUUUCGGUGGGGGAUGGGCUCGCGGCCUAUCAGCUUGUUGGUGGGGUGAUGGCCUACCAAGGCGGUGACGGGUAGCCGGCCUGAGAGGGUGGACGGUCACACUGGGACUGAGACACGGCCCAGACUCCUACGGGAGGCAGCAGUGGGGAAUAGUGCACAAUGGGCGCAAGCCUGAUGCAGCGACGCCGCGUGAGGGAUGGAGGCCUGCGGGUUGUGAACCUCUUUCGCCAGUGAAGCGGGCCUGCCUCGUUUGUGGGUGGGUUGACGGUAGCUGGAUAAGAAGCGCCGGCUAACUACGUG
This 494-nucleotide ribosomal RNA is filed under the name uncultured bacterium. RNAcentral's name for it is "partial 16S ribosomal RNA". It matches the Rfam family "Bacterial small subunit ribosomal RNA", at positions 28 to 507 of the family's 1533-position model. The record is from RNAcentral.